This is a long non-coding RNA of Pezoporus flaviventris, 2187 nucleotides long. RefSeq lists it as uncharacterized. The transcript has 2 exons. The record is from RefSeq and is a predicted model, not a curated record. Lineage: Eukaryota; Metazoa; Chordata; Aves; Psittaciformes; Psittacidae.
UGCUGUCCCAGGAUGUGUGUAUGAGUCAUUGUCUGGAAAUCCAAGUGGCCAGAUGUCCGCCAGAUACAGCCGAGCCCCUGGAGCUGCUAACUCCAGCAGGAAGGGUUAGUUAGAACCCUGUGGCUGUUUCUCCUUCCCUGUGGAGGUGGCUGCAGGGCAGCAUUAACCGGAGGGCUCUGUCCCUUGCUGCUCCCCUCCAUCCCCCUGGAUUGCAGCCUGUGCAAAGCACAAGCGGACAAUGUUGCUGUAGUGUUUGUGUCGGGGAGUUUCUGGAGGGAGGCAGAGUCCUUCCUGGGAGACGUGUGUUGGUUUUGCAACCAAGACUGUGCUCUUCUACUAAAAAACUUCAUUUUUUCCGAGUCUUCAUGUUGCUGAGAAACCUGGUGGCAAUGCAGAAUGCAGGUGUUCUACUGCUGCAGACACUGGCACAUGAGACUUUUGUGGAAAGAAACCCAAUAAAAUAACUAGUGUUGAACUUAAUAAACUCUUUAAGAUGCUGUGAAACACCAGGGAGUCCUGUUUUGAGGAAGGUCGUUGUCUCUUCAGGAGAAAACCACGGCUUUCUAAGAAGAAUAUGGGACUAGGUCUAGCUGAUAACUUGGCCAAGGUUAGUGAUCUCUCUCCUUGCUUCAGAUCCACCUCCAGUCUGCCCCAUAGCUCUCAGCUGUGCCAUCAGCAGCCAGCUGAGUCUCACCAGCCUUCAUGGAUCAGGCUAUUUCCUCCCUUCUUGGAAAGGGGAAAUCAGCCAAAGCCCUCAAACUCUGCUGUGAUGAAUAAGGCACUGGAAGAAGCAGCUCUGAUUUAGGCCAACUCCCUCCUUCUCAGUACAGUUAUUCUAUGGGCACAUCGUUCACAUACAUGCCCACCUUGUGGGAUGUAUAGACUAGGGCUCCAUAAUACACUGCCACACUCUAGGAGCAAGGCAGAAAAACCUCUCUUUGUAUCUGUUCUAGAAGGCAUCUUGCUGGAAGGUGAGUCAGAGCAAUGGCACUGCAGGAGCCUGUUGUAAUUGCCAGAUUUAGGAUGCUGGCCUCUGAAUAAAUCUCUGCUUUUGCUUUGCUGGGCUAAUUCAGGCUUGAAAACUGAAGUGACAGCUUAUAGCCAGGCUUUUCAGUUUGGCUUGCCUAAGACUCUGCGUAUGUGUAUGUGUCUAAAUGCAAAUAAGCUGCUCCCAGAAAGCACAGAGUCAUGAAUGCUAAACUUCUUAUCUGCAUGGACUGAUGGGGUGAGCGACUGAAGACCCCAUAAAUUACCUUCUUUCUGCUCAGGGUGAAAGUAAGACUGGUGCUGUAGUCCCUGACAGCAAGGAAUGGCUCUGUUUCUGGUUGGACAGGUUUGAUUGGCCACUAAUUUACUCUCCCUCCUCUUGUAAUUCAACACAGCUUUCUUGGUGCGCUCUGCCAGUUCUCUCACCAAUUUGCUGCUAGGAAGAUUUUCCUGUGAGUGAAUUGUGGAUUCUAGUUAAAACAUGUACAGAGCACGCUUCUGCUUGAUGGCUCUGCUCUUAGAUGUCACAGGAAGAGACAGUGUUUUGUAUAACUGCAAGAAAAAUACCAUGUUCUAAUUAGUGUAAUUUAUAGUCCCUUGCAGGCUAAAACAACAGCUGAUGAGUCAUGGAAGUUCCUUCUUCUGACAUUUGCUGAAAGAAAUGUUAUUUUAGCUCUUAUGACUUUUUGGGGAGAGGGGAGGAGCAGGGUGGGGAGGGAGCAGUUGCUCUGAAAUGCUUCACCCCUUCUUCAGCGUCUACCUCCUGCAACGCGUUUCCUGUUUAAAGCUUUCUGCUGUGUUGCUCUGCAGUGAGGGAGCAGUGAUUAUGGCUACAUCUAAUUAUGGACAUGGUGGGUCCCAGUUUGAGUGUUCAUGUCUGGGUUGAAGUUCCUGAGCCAAUUGCAGUGGCUGGGACAGGAGGUUUCAGUACCUGCAAUACUGUCGUUGCUGAUGUAGCUGAGCAGACAGAAGACUGGACCCUAAGAUUCCCCAUCUCUAACUUAACACUUUGUGUAUCAGGAAUGUAUUCACUAUGGUCUCAGGUGAGGUCUGAGAGUAAUGUGGGAUGCUCAAGUCCGCUUUCAAGGAUGGUUUUACUACCAAGUUGCAAACUCUUUCUAUCCCUGUGAUCCAAGACUUUGUUCCAACUGGUCUCUGCAAACAUGAGACAGUUGGAUUAAAGCAAAGGUUUUCUCCAAA